This 1296-nucleotide long non-coding RNA is filed under the name Sinocyclocheilus anshuiensis. RNAcentral's name for it is "lncRNA (ENSSANG00000028230.1)". Lineage: Eukaryota; Metazoa; Chordata; Actinopteri; Cypriniformes; Cyprinidae. The record is from RNAcentral.
CAUUUAAGUUACUAAGUCUAUUGAGAGCACAUUUUCUCACUCUCUUUCAUCAAAACGGUGAGCUGAGCUUGCUACUCAUCUAAGACUAUGAGAUGAAGUGUACUGCCCUCUUGUGGCCUUUAGUGGGAUUUUGCCGUUUGUUUUGACAUGCAGGCUUGAGUGACCUCUAGUGGCCGAAUUUUCAUACGCAUCCAAUGUGCUUCCGCAUAUUCCACGUUUUGUGCCUGUGUGUGAACAUGCAAGACUUGCAAAAGCUGUUGGUUGGCUCGAGUCGGCCUGGCUCAUGUCCUGUUUUCUUUACCCCGCUGUUAGAAGACACUUUCGACCACAGAAUAAAUUGUAUCUUAGCUCUCUGUAAAUAGCACAUUUCUAUGGUGGCGUCGCUAACUAUCCUAAAGGUUUGUUUUAGCUCCAUCGAAUACAAAGAGGCACUCAAUAUUAAGUGUUUUGUUCGAGCACAAACGUUAAUUUAGAGCUUAAAAUACGAUAUUUAUUGUUAAUAUGCGUUGACAACAAAAACAUUUAGUUUUACUUUGCUUUGACAAAACAAAACCGAGUAAAGCAUAUGUCAAUAUUAGCCUAUUAUUUCAGACACUGCGUCUAGGUUCACAGAAAUGAAGAAAUAAUGCCAUGUUACGUUAAAACUAGGCCAGUAGAAUACUGAUGUCUAUAUGAAGAGAGGAAGUGCAAACAUGUUCCAGGAUCUGAUAUAAACUGGGAGUAGGGACACUAAGAGGUUUUAUGUCUGAGAAUGCAACACUGUGGACGUCUGGUUCUGGCUCCAAGUUCUUAAUGGGAUCUGGAACAAAGUUAAUGGUGCAGACCAAAAAACAAGAACCGCCUGCCUAUUACAAAUUUAAUAAGUCAUGUUUGGCAACCGACUUCACAAAAUAUGAUGAUGUAAAAUUCCAAGAUGUUACACCAGUGCGAUAUGCAGAACGAAGUUACUACAGCAGCUUCACCUUUAAUGCUUCAGAAUACUGCCCGCAGAAAGACUGUAAUCAAGGAUCAUCCAGUCAAAAUGCUGAUUUUGAAACGGGUAAGUGUGCUUUUAUUUGCACAUUAAUAGUCUGCUGUGCAUUUCAUUUCAUUUGCAGUCCAUUACUACUAGUCUGUUACUGCCUGUUGUUUGAACUGAAACAUCCAGCACUGUCAAACAUUAACUACACUCGCAUAGAUUUCAAAUUGUGAAACUACUAGCUUCGAAAAAAAAAAAAAAUUAAACACAUUUUAAAAAAAUACUUGAAAGUGCUGGAUUAUACCACAAAAUCCAUGGUAAAACCAAUAGACAUACUA